This is a non-coding RNA of Gossypium raimondii (Peruvian cotton), 146 nucleotides long. The record is from Rfam. NCBI's taxonomy places the organism in Eukaryota, Viridiplantae, Streptophyta, Magnoliopsida, Malvales, Malvaceae.
UGUUAAAAAUUUUAUCCAAUUUUACUGUAAAAAACUGACAUAGCUAACAGAAAAACCAACAAGUUAAACGUGGCAUGUCAUGUGUACCUUACUCUUAACAUACAGGGACUAGUUUUUAACAAUAGAAAUAGAUUCAACUUUUACCA